This is a long non-coding RNA of Acinonyx jubatus (cheetah), 1677 nucleotides long. RefSeq lists it as uncharacterized. The record is from RefSeq and is a predicted model, not a curated record. Lineage: Eukaryota; Metazoa; Chordata; Mammalia; Carnivora; Felidae. The transcript is spliced from 3 exons.
UUGUUACCAAAAAAAAAAAAAAAAAAAAAGGCCAGUAAAGAUAUCUUCAAAUGAUAUCAACCCUAUUACUAGAUUCUUUGUUCACCAACAGAUCUUUUGUUUGUCGGAAGCGGAAUUUUGAGAUGCUCCUGGAUUCUACGUUACAGGAGUCCCUUAACAUCCGGUGUCUCAGAUGCUCGCUAGAAGUUGGUGAGAUAAACAGGACUAGCCAGAUCUCCGUUCCAGAAACAAUUCAGCCUGUCCAAUGAUGUCCUCUCCACCCUUUCCCUACUUCCUGCCUCCGAAAAACCACAUUUUCCAAACGGGAAGCCAGGAGCUGGAGAAGUACAGACACCUAAGUUGCCUGGAUUCGUAAAGAAUGGGUCCUUUGAGUCUGCCCGCUCUCCAUGCAAAUUUCUUACUCGGCCUCUCUCCAACGGCACGACUCGAUCAGCUCGAUCUGCUCUCCUUUUCCUACAGGGUAGUACCAGUCAUCUGAGCAACACGCAUUCCCCUGAGGGGCGGUAUGGUUGAGGUGAAAAGCACGUGCUCCAGGUGUAAAGCCAAACCCUCACGUUCACGAUCACUGGGGUCUUUGGCAAGUUCGUUUCACCUUUCUUGGGCCUCAGUUUCCUCGUCUACAAAAUGGUGUCAUAACCGUAGCCACUCCACGGAGCGGCGAGGAUUAAGAGCUGUAUGUGAACGUGCAGAAUAUUACGCGGCACAUGGUAAGCCCUACGAGUGCUGGCUACCACUGAUAAAAGGCAUUUCUUGUCUGUGACCCUCAAGCCUAAAGGAACUAUUAAGGUUCUACGUAUCUGAGGAUUCAAUCGGGUUUCUAAGUUUUGGAUGAGGUCUUCUGUAAGCUUAAAGGGAGCCAGAAAUCAUUUACGUGCAGUCUCUGCGAUAUUUUCAAAACCUUUUACUCAAAGCAGUACUAAAAAAAAUACAUCACUGCUUUCUUGACACUUUUCUAUACAUAGCUAGUGUGCUCAAGAAAGUUACUCCUCACUUAAGAUACAAAAAAGGUUGGGGAGGCUGAAUUAUCUGAAUCUGUCCUAAGCAGAGAUUACCAACUUGACAAUGUACAUAGACUGUUAUAUCUGCUUUGGCAGAAAAAGAAGAUGCGGAGAAUCAGAUAAAACGUGACUCUACUGCCCCCAAUGUUCAAAACUCCCCCUCCCCAACAACUUUAUAAAUAUUUUAUCAUAAUUUUUUUUUUUUUUUUUUUUACCUAAAUUUUCAAGGUCUUUCUUGGUGACAAAUUUGUAAUCAUCGUAAACUGUGCUUUCUGGAUUCUCUUCUAGUUCUUCUGUCAAGUUGUCCAGGAAGGAGCACCACCUGGGAGCAGGGCCCAAAACCUACCGGUGUUGAUUAAAAGAUCUUUCCCAGCACUACGCCUCACCCACUGAGGUCAAGGCUUAUCCCAAAUGAAACAAUGCUACGCAGCAGGAAGGCUACGCUAUUGAAAGUGUCUGCUGAACUCCAGGCUUUCAGAAGAACAACCCUGGGCUGACAAAAUGGAACUUCCCGUGACUACUUCCCUGUGUAUUUUGAUAGCUAUUGACUCAACAGGAGAAAAACAAAAAUCAUAAUGGAAAUGAUGAAACCUAGCUUAAACUUUCUGGGGAAGGGAAGGUGGAAGAGACUAGUAACAAGGAACAACAGCGCCUAAUACCAUCUUCACUCAAAAAAACA